UCUAAUGCCCGAUUCUAUAUGUGACAGCCGGUUGACGAAAUUCCGUCGUUUGAACAUAGUUUUGUUAGAGACCGCAACUUAGUCAUUAUAUGGAUUGACGAUCCGACUAUUGGAUUGACACCAAACCUUAACACAUUAUAGUACAUAAUAUUUGAGGACCAUAGGAAUUGAUGGAUUGGGAAUCCAACAUGCCGAUCUUCCUAAAUUGAAUUUCUAAGUUUGUAAAACCAAACGUUGAUAGCAACCUAAUUCUAGCAAUUGGUGGAGAUCCGACCGUUGGAUCGUUAUGAAAUUGUAGAAUAUUGUUCUAGAAG
This 314-nucleotide long non-coding RNA is filed under the name Malus domestica (apple). Its description in RNAcentral is "long non-coding RNA (MDOM_LNC006696)". Lineage: Eukaryota; Viridiplantae; Streptophyta; Magnoliopsida; Rosales; Rosaceae. The record is from RNAcentral.